RNAcentral lists this ribosomal RNA (225 nucleotides) under uncultured bacterium. RNAcentral describes it as "partial 16S ribosomal RNA". It matches the Rfam family "Bacterial small subunit ribosomal RNA", at positions 113 to 334 of the family's 1533-position model. The record is from RNAcentral.
CGACGUAGGUAACCUGCCUUGUAGCGGGGGAUAACUAUUGAAACGAUAGCUAAUACCGCAUAACAAUGGAUGACACAUGUCAUUUAUUUGAAAGGGGCAAUUGCUCCACUACAAGAUGGACCUGCGUUGUAUUAGCUAGUAGGUGAGGUAACGGCUCACCUAGGCGACGAUACAUAGCCGACCUGAGAGGGUGAUCGGCCACACUGGGACUGAGACACGGCCCAG